GACAGAGGUGCCAAGCGUUAGGCGGAAUCACUGGGCUUAAAGCGUGUGUAGGCGGAUCGUUAAGUACCUUGUGAAAUCCCCGGGCUCAACCCGGGAACUGCGUCCGAUACUGGUUGGCUUGAAUCCGGGAGAGGGAUGCGGAAUUCCAGGUGUAGCGGUGAAAUGCGUAGAUAUCUGGAGGAACACCGGUGGCGAAGGCGGCAUCCUGGACCGGCAUUGACGCUGAGGCGCGAAAGCCAGGGGAGCAAACGGG
This 253-nucleotide ribosomal RNA is filed under the name uncultured bacterium. Its description in RNAcentral is "partial 16S ribosomal RNA". It matches the Rfam family "Bacterial small subunit ribosomal RNA", at positions 524 to 776 of the family's 1533-position model. The record is from RNAcentral.